UACGAAGGGUGCAAGCGUUACUCGGAAUUAUCGUGGCGUAAAGCGUGCGUAGGUGGUUUUUGUUAAGUCUGAUGUGAAAGCCCUGGCUCAAACCCUGGGAAUUGCAUUGGAUACUGGCAGGCUAGAGUGCGGGUAGAGGAGUGGCGGAAUUCCGGUGUAGCAGUGAAAUGCGUAGAGAUCGGGAGGAACAUCUGUGGCGAAGGCGGCCAUCAUGGACCCAGCAC
This 224-nucleotide ribosomal RNA is filed under the name uncultured bacterium. RNAcentral's name for it is "partial 16S ribosomal RNA". It matches the Rfam family "Bacterial small subunit ribosomal RNA", at positions 524 to 741 of the family's 1533-position model. The record is from RNAcentral.